This is a non-coding RNA of Peromyscus maniculatus bairdii (prairie deer mouse), 555 nucleotides long. Lineage: Eukaryota; Metazoa; Chordata; Mammalia; Rodentia; Cricetidae. The record is from RefSeq and is a predicted model, not a curated record.
UCUCUAUCAGCUCUGAAAAAGAACCAACAUGUUUACAUAAUACUGGGACAUCCCAACAUUGCCAGUGGGAAGUCCUGAUGCUGGACUCUGGCCAGUGGCUGAGAGAUUGAGUGAAACCCCAUCUGCUUUUUCUGAACUAGGCCUCAUCAGAAGACCCCCAAUCCAGGGACAUGAGUCUCCGGGCUGUUCUGAGCUCUUCCAAGCCCAUGUCUUGCUGUUCCAACGGAUGGAGAAGUGCUUCCCACAGCCACACAACCUCAUCCUCCCCUCCAGACCUCAGCCUGGGAUGGCCUCCAGAGACAGCCGGGCUGUCCCAGGACCCUGUUAGCAACUCCCCAGAUGCCUGAUUCUCCUUCCCAGAAUAGCACAGCCCCUGGAGCACCCAGCCCAGAACUUCAGGGCCUGUGAUCUCAUGCUACUGCGGGUCAGCAACUCCUACCUCACACCAACAUGAAUAGUUCACUUUGUGUACGUGUCUUGGACCCAGAGGCGAUCGACUGAGUCUCCAGGAAAUAUUAAAAGCAGAGGCUCCGGACUCUGCCAUGAUGCCUGCUA